This 497-nucleotide ribosomal RNA is filed under the name uncultured bacterium. RNAcentral's name for it is "partial 16S ribosomal RNA". It matches the Rfam family "Bacterial small subunit ribosomal RNA", at positions 28 to 507 of the family's 1533-position model. The record is from RNAcentral.
GACGAACGCUGGCGGCGUGCCUAAUACAUGCAAGUUGAGCGCUGAAGGUUGGUACUUGUCCCAACUGGAUGAGCAGCGAACGGGCGAGUAACGCGUGGGGAAUCUGCCUUUGAGCGGGGGACAACAUUUGGAAACGAAUGCUAAUACCGCAUAAAAACUUUAAACACAAGUUUUAAGUUUGAAAGAUGCAAUUGCAUCACUCAAAGAUGAUCCCGCGUUGUAUUAGCUAGUUGGUGAGGUAAAGGCUCACCAAGGCGAUGAUACAUAGCCGACCUGAGAGGGGGAUCGGCCACAUUGGGACGGAGACACGGCCCAAACUCCUACGGGAGGCAGCAGUAGGGAAUCUUCGGCAAUGGACGAAAGUCUGACCGAGCAACGCCGCGUGAGUGAAGAAGGUUUUCGGAUCGUAAAACUCUGUUGGUAGAGAAGAACGUUGGUGAGAGUGGAAAGCUCAUCAAGUGACGGUAACUACCCAGAAAGGGACGGCUAACUACGUG